CAAUUUACUAAUCAUGCUGACAUUAUUUUCACUCCUUUUGUAAGGGAUCCUCUCUGGUCUACAAGGAUGUUGCCUUCAGGAAAAUCUGAAGGGUUAAUGAAUCCUUUCAGGCUACACCCAGACAUAGCUGUGUACUGUUUACAGAAUACUUGUGUACAAGUUCUCAUUGCAAAGCCAUUUUACUGGAGAUACAAGCGUACAAUUGGUGCCGUCUCCUCCUAUAUUCUACCUGGACCAUCAAUAGCAGUCAGUGAAAGGACUGCAGAAAACACCUGCGAGGUAAAGCGAGACAGUCAAGGACCACCUAAUCCUGUGAGUGAAGAAGCAAUAACUCACUGAUGAAGUCAACGCUGUGUUCCCCUCUCCUAUUAACCAGCUUCCAGUAAUGCGGAUCCUAUCCAAAUAUAAUAUGGUGCCAACCGUCUUGGAGCCAUGGUUUAUUUUAUUUCUCAUCCUGCUCACGGUGCUCGUUAUGUGUUUUCUGGUGAUGCUGCCAGCAGGGAUUGUCAUCCUAUGGAGAAGAAGACACAUGCCUGAACAUUCACUGGAUGGGACUGUGUAAUCAUCAAUAUACCGGAAAAAAUGAUCAACUGCACAAAGUAUGAAGGGUGCUGCUGUCAUUUCCUGAACACACCCAUAUAGAACACAUACACAUAGCUGUGUAAAUAAAGAAAUUAUGUAGUGAUAAAAUAUUAGGGUGCCAUUGCUGACUUCUCCUUCUGAAAAUCGAGCUUUCUGGCUGCCAUGCUGAUCCAGCGGAUCAGAAGUUCUGACUUCACUCUGACAUUUUAAUCUGCAUGCUUGUUUCAAGUCAGUGCCUGAAAAGGGUGCGUAUACCAGAGACAUCCAGGCAACGAGUAUUCUUGGGGGGGGG
Rana temporaria (common frog) is the source of this 874-nucleotide long non-coding RNA. RefSeq lists it as uncharacterized. The record is from RefSeq and is a predicted model, not a curated record. Lineage: Eukaryota; Metazoa; Chordata; Amphibia; Anura; Ranidae. The transcript has 3 exons.